AUUGAACGCUGGCGGCAGGCCUAACACAUGCAAGUCGAGCGGAUGAAGGGAGCUUGCUCCUGGAUUCAGCGGCGGACGGGUGAGUAAUGCCUAGGACUCUGCCUGGUAGUGGGGGAUAACGUCCGGAAACGGGCGCUAAUACCGCAUACGUCCUGAGGGAGAAAGUGGGGGAUCUUCGGACCUCACGCUAUCAGAUGAGCCUAGGUCGGAUUAGCUAGUUGGUGGGGUAAAGGCCUACCAAGGCGACGAUCCGUAACUGGUCUGAGAGGAUGAUCAGUCACACUGGAACUGAGACACGGUCCAGACUCCUACGGGAGGCAGCAGUGGGGAAUAUUGGACAAUGGGCGAAAGCCUGAUCCAGCCAUGCCGCGUGUGUGAAGAAGGUCUUCGGAUUGUAAAGCACUUAAGUUGGGAGGAAGGGCAGUAAGUUAAUACCUUGCUGUUUUGACGUUACCAACAGAAUAAGCACCGGCUAACUUCGUG
This 483-nucleotide ribosomal RNA is filed under the name uncultured bacterium. Its description in RNAcentral is "partial 16S ribosomal RNA". It matches the Rfam family "Bacterial small subunit ribosomal RNA", at positions 30 to 507 of the family's 1533-position model. The record is from RNAcentral.